CACACGACUCUCGGCAACGGAUAUCUCGGCUCUCGCAUCGAUGAAGAACGUAGCGAAAUGCGAUACCUGGUGUGAAUUGCAGAAUCCCGCGAACCAUCGAGUCUCUGAACGCAAGUUGCGCCCGAGGCCACUCGGCCGAGGGCACGCCUGCCUGGGCGUCACGC
Molecule: ribosomal RNA, 164 nt
Filed under: Pseudoroegneria tauri
Lineage: Eukaryota; Viridiplantae; Streptophyta; Magnoliopsida; Poales; Poaceae
Description: Elymus tauri 5.8S ribosomal RNA
Rfam family: 5.8S ribosomal RNA
About the family: 5.8S ribosomal RNA (5.8S rRNA) is a component of the large subunit of the eukaryotic ribosome. It is transcribed by RNA polymerase I as part of the 45S precursor that also contains 18S and 28S rRNA. Functionally, it is thought that 5.8S rRNA may be involved in ribosome translocation.
Source: RNAcentral